Molecule: long non-coding RNA, 646 nt
Organism: Salvia hispanica
Lineage: Eukaryota; Viridiplantae; Streptophyta; Magnoliopsida; Lamiales; Lamiaceae
Source: RefSeq, a predicted model, not a curated record
AGAAAUUCUACUGUGGAAUUGAGGAAACAACCUUCCUCCGCCGCGCCUAUUCGUGCUGAUUUCUGAUCCCGGCGGCGUCAAGUCUAUCGGAUUGCUUUGUUUUCGGAGAGAAGACGCCGAAGCUUUUCUCGCGCAGGUUAAUAUGUUGAAAGUUGAAGGAAUAGCAUUCCGGUUUUUACCUGAUCAGUGCCGGAGUUAUUCAUAUGCUCUCGGAUGAUAGAUAAUGCCGUACUCAUCAGAUUUAUUAUCACAUCCUAUGAAGUUCAGAUAAGAGCAUCAGAUAUCAAGAGUGGAUUUGAUGGAGUUCCUGUUUUUCAGGUAAGUAAGAAGAACUCGGGCUGGGAAGACUUAAUAUUCAUCCCACCUGGUAAAAGCCAUUCUCAACACAUUCAAGAGGCUGUGAAAGUAUAAAGAUUGAUUGCAGGACUUCCAUUUGACUACACAGCAAGUAGGUGAGUGAAUGCGUGCUUGCAUUUCUGUCGAUGUGUGCUUAAUUUUAUCUUGGCCCGUCUACCUUUGCAAGCUCAUGACCAUACGCGUUCUGACUUUCCGUCCUGUCUACUGACUUUCGAGCUAAGAACUUAGUUCCCGCUUUGUAAGGUUACAUAUUUCCUACAUCCAAAUAAUACUAUAAUCUUAUAAUUCA